Molecule: ribosomal RNA, 443 nt
Filed under: uncultured Sphingobacteriales bacterium
Lineage: Bacteria; Pseudomonadati; Bacteroidota; Sphingobacteriia; Sphingobacteriales
Description: bacterial SSU rRNA
Rfam family: Bacterial small subunit ribosomal RNA
Source: RNAcentral
CAUGUGGUUUAAUUCGAUGAUACGCGAAGGAACCUUACCUGGGCUUAAUGGGGAGUGACAGCUGUCGAAAGAUGGUUUUCUUCGGACACUCUUCAAGGUGCUGCAUGGUUGUCGUCAGCUCGGUGCCGUGAGGUGUCGGGUUAAGUCCCAUAACGAGCGCAACCCUUACCGUUAGUUACCAUCAGGUUAAGCUGGGGACUCUAGCGGGACUGCCACCGUAAGGUGAGAGGAAGGUGGGGAUGACGUCAAAUCAGCACGGCCCUUAUGUCCAGGGCUACACACGUGUUACAAUGGCCGGUACAAAGGGCAGCUACUUCGCGAGAAGAUGCUAAUCUCGAAAGCCGGUCUCAGUUCGGAUCGAAGUCUGCAACCCGACUUCGUGAAGCUGGAUUCGCUAGUAAUCGCGCAUCAGCCAUGGCGCGGUGAAUACGUUCCCGGGCCUU